GGUAACGUGCCCUUUGGUUCGGUUACAACUCCGUGGUAAUACUGGAGCUAAUACCGGAUAAGCCCUUCGGUGGGAAAGAUUUAUCGCCAAAGGAUCGGCCCGCGUCUGAUUAGCUUGUUGGUGAGGUAAUGGCUCACCAAGGCGACGAUCAGUAGCUGGUCUGAGAGGAUGAUCAGCCACACUGGGACUGAGACACGGCCCAUACUCCUACGGGAGGCAGCAGUGGGGAAUACUUGGACAAUGGGCGCAAGCCUGAUCCAGCCAUGCCGCGUGAGUGAUGAAGGCCCUAGGGUUGUAAAGCUCUUUCGGCGAGGACGAUAAUGACGGUACCCGCAGAAGAAGCCCCGGCUAACUUCGUGCC
RNAcentral lists this ribosomal RNA (361 nucleotides) under uncultured bacterium. Its description in RNAcentral is "bacterial SSU rRNA". It matches the Rfam family "Bacterial small subunit ribosomal RNA", at positions 120 to 509 of the family's 1533-position model. The record is from RNAcentral.